RNAcentral lists this ribosomal RNA (443 nucleotides) under uncultured bacterium. RNAcentral describes it as "partial 16S ribosomal RNA". It matches the Rfam family "Bacterial small subunit ribosomal RNA", at positions 338 to 795 of the family's 1533-position model. The record is from RNAcentral.
CCUACGGGUGACUGCAGUGGGGGAUAUUGCACAAUGGGCGCAAGCCUGACCCAGCAACGCCGCGUGAAGGAAGAAGGCUUUCGGGUUGUAAACUUCUUUUCUCAGGGACGAAGCAAGUGACGGUACCUGAGGAAUAAGCCACGGCUAACUACGUGCCAGCAGCCGCGGUAAUACGUAGGUGGCAAGCGUUAUCCGGAUUUACUGGGUGUAAAGGGCGUGUAGGCGGGACUGCAAGUCAGAUGUGAAAACCACGGGCUCAACCUGUGGCCUGCAUUUGAAACUGUAGUUCUUGAGUACUGGAGAGGCAGACGGAAUGCCUAGUGUAGCGGUGAAAUGCGUAGAUAUUAGGAGGAACACCAGUGGCGAAGGCGGUCUGCUGGACAGCAACUGACGCUGAGGCGCGAAAGCGUGGGGGGCAAACAGGAUUAGAUACCCCUGUAGUC